RNAcentral lists this long non-coding RNA (375 nucleotides) under Homo sapiens (human). RNAcentral describes it as "non-protein coding lnc-KRT80-16:1". The record is from RNAcentral. Lineage: Eukaryota; Metazoa; Chordata; Mammalia; Primates; Hominidae.
ACACUGACUGGACUUGCCCAGGUGCGACCGGCUGAGAUGAGGAGCUGGGCCCAAGGAAGCCUGGAGGUCUCGCUGAGACCAGGAGCAGAAGCCCACAACCAGGCCCCCGACUCCAGCUCAGUGCAGUAGCAGGGGACAGGCCCUGGCACAGGGAGCAUCAGGCCUGAGGCCCAGGAGCCCAGCUUCCCCAUGGGGCUGGACUCAGAGGGAAACCAAGGCAGAAGGAGAGGACCUCAGUGAGAGCCAUGGGCCUGGCUCAGUCUGGGUUGAGGACACACUGUGGACACAGCCCUGACUCCCUGCCCCUCCGUCACUCUCAAAUGUGGAGGAAUCAUGACAAGUAGGCCUGUUGGACUCGGGUGGGGAGGAGGAGUG